Molecule: ribosomal RNA, 1461 nt
Filed under: uncultured Bordetella sp.
Lineage: Bacteria; Pseudomonadati; Pseudomonadota; Betaproteobacteria; Burkholderiales; Alcaligenaceae
Description: partial 16S-23S ribosomal RNA intergenic spacer
Rfam family: Bacterial small subunit ribosomal RNA
Source: RNAcentral
AGUUCGAUUAUGGCUCAGAUUGAACGCUAGCGGGAUGCCUUACACAUGCAAGCCGAACGGCAGCACGGGACUUCGGUCUGGUGGCGAGAGUGGCGAACGGUGAGCAAUGUAUCGAACGCCUAGUAUGUGGGGAUAACUACGCGAAAGCGUAGCCAAUACCGCAUACGCCCCUUCGGGGGAAAGCGGGGGGACCUUCGGGCCUCGCACUAUUAGAGCGGCCGAUAUCGGAUUAGUUGUGUUGCGGGGUAACGGCUCACCAAGGCGACGAUCCGUAGCUGGUUUGAGAGGACGACCAGCCACACUGGGACUGAGACACGGCCCAGACUCAUGGAGGCAGCAGUGGGGAAUUUUGACAAUGGGGAAACCCUGAUCCAGCCAGUCUGCGUGAAGAUGAAGGCCUUCGGGUUGUAAAGCACUUUCUUUGGCAGGAAGAACGGCAUCGGGAUAAUACCCUACGCACACUGACGGUACUGCAGAAUAAGCACCGGCUAACUACGUGCCAGCAGCCGCGGUAAUACGUAGGGUGCAAGCGUUAAUCGGAAUUACUGGGCGUAAAGUGGCGCGGUUCGGAAAGAAAGAUGUGAAAUCCCAGAGCUUAACUUUGGAACUGCAUUUUUAACUACCGAGCUAGAGUGUGUCAGGGAGGGAGGUGGAAUUCCGCGUGUAGCAGUGAAAUGUAGAUAUGCGGAGGAACACUGAUGGCGAAGGCAGCCUCCUGGGAUAACACUGACGCUCAUGCACGAAAGCGUGGGAGUGUAAAACAGGAUUAGAUACCCUGGUAGUCCAGUCAAACGAUGUCAACUAGCUGUUGGGGCCUUCGGGCCUUCGGUAGCGCAGCUAACGCGUGAAGUUGACCGCCUGGGGAGUACGGUCGCAAGAUUAAAACUCAAAGGAAUUGACGGGGACCCGCACAAGCGGUGGAUGAUGUGAUUAAUCUGAUGCAACGCGUUCCACUUACCCUUGACAUGUCUGGAAUCCCGAAGAGAUUUGGGAGUGCUCGCAAGAGAACCGGAACACAGGUGCUGCAUGGCUGUCGUCAGCUCGUGUCGAGAUGCUUGGGUUGUCCCGCAACGAGCGCAACCCUUUGCCGCUGAAGGCACGAAAGGGCACUUUAAUGAGACUGCCGGUGACAAACCGAGGAAGGUGGGAUGACGUCAAGUCCUCAUGGCCCUUAUGGGUAGGGCUUCACACGUCAUACAAUGGUCGGGACAGAGUGGUCGCCAACCCAAGGGGGAGCCAAUCCCAGAAACCCGAUCGUAGUCCGGAUCGCAGUCUGCAACUCGACCGUGUCGGAAUCGUGCUAUAAUCGCGGAUCAGCACGGUCGCGUGAAUACGUUCCGGUCUUUGUACACACCGCCUGUCACACCAUGGGAGUGGGUUUUACCAGAAGUAGUUAGCUCGUCCGUAAGGAGGGCGAUUACUACGGUAUCUUAUGAUCAGUGAAGUCGUGUAACAAGGUAA